UACAGAGGUCACAAGCGUUGUUCGGAUUCACUGGGCGUAAAGGGUGCGUAGGCGGUCGGGUAAGUCUGAUGUGAAAUCUCACAGCUUAACUGUGAAACUGCAUUGGAUACUAUCCGGCUAGAGGAAUGGAGGGGAGACUGGAAUACUUGGUGUAGCAGUGAAAUGCGUAGAUAUCAAGUGGAACACCAGUGGCGAAGGCGAGUCUCUGGACAUUUCCUGACGCUGAGGCACGAAAGCCAGGGGAGCAAACGGG
Molecule: ribosomal RNA, 253 nt
Filed under: uncultured bacterium
Lineage: Bacteria
Description: partial 16S ribosomal RNA
Rfam family: Bacterial small subunit ribosomal RNA
Source: RNAcentral